UAGGGAAUCUUCGGCAAUGGACGAAAGUCUGACCGAGCAACGCCGCGUGAGUGAAGAAGGUUUUCGGAUCGUAAAACUCUGUUAUUAGAGAAGAACAAGGACGUUAGUAACUGAACGUCCCCUGACGGUAUCUAACCAGAAAGCCACGGCUAACUACGUGCCAGCAGCCGCGGUAAUACGUAGGUGGCAAGCGUUGUCCGGAUUUAUUGGGCGUAAAGCGAGCGCAGGCGGUUUCUUAAGUCUGAUGUGAAAGCCCCCGGCUCAACCGGGGAGGGUCAUUGGAAACUGGGAGACUUGAGUGCAGAAGAGGAGAGUGGAAUUCCAUGUGUAGCGGUGAAAUGCGUAGAUAUAUGGAGGAACACCAGUGGCGAAGGCGGCUCUCUGGUCUGUAACUGACGCUGAGGCUCGAAAGCGUGGGGAGCAAACAGG
This 429-nucleotide ribosomal RNA is filed under the name Chloroflexota bacterium. Its description in RNAcentral is "Chloroflexi bacterium partial 16S ribosomal RNA". It matches the Rfam family "Bacterial small subunit ribosomal RNA", at positions 355 to 776 of the family's 1533-position model. The record is from RNAcentral. RNAcentral also lists the same sequence under 1 other name. Lineage: Bacteria; Bacillati; Chloroflexota.